CAACGCUAAAGCGUCCAUCACUUAAUCGACGACGUGCGGGACGUACGGUUGUGGACGUCUGUACACAUUCGAAAAGUUAGUAAACAUUCAGUGAAGGACGCGGAAGGUGUGCUCGACAUUCUCUCUCUCUGUGUUUUGCUGCUGCUUGCAGUCGGCCGGCAUUGAAAAUGGAGUUGAACGUUACAAACCCUGGCUAUCUACAGCGGCGGUGGGAUGCAUUCCUGGAUGUGGUCGGCGAUGAUCCGGAACGGUUGUACGUGUGGGGCCUGUCCUUCUACAUACACACCCUUUACUGGGUGCUCGGAUCGUUCUUCGUCUUUAUGGACGUGUUCCAGUGGCCGCCGGCGCUCAGGAAGUUCAAAAACCAACCCGGACUCAACGAACCACUCAGGUGGGCCGACCUGCGAAAGGUAUGCGGCGUAACACCACGGGGAGAAAGUGCUACACAUACACACACACUAACGCAAUCAAUUCUUCCAGAUCGUUCGCACCGUACUGAUCAACCAGCUGUUGAUCAGCGUUCCGAUAACGUUCUUCGGGUUCCGGGCCCUGCUGGCCAGCGGUGUCGCAGUGAACGUGCGUACCCUCCCGUCACUGUACGAGGUGGUGCGGGAUCUGCUCAUCAGUGCCGCCGGCUGGGAGCUCGGGUUCUACUACAGCCACCGGCUGCUUCACUCGAAGCAUCUGUACAAGCUGAUUCACAAGCAGCACCACGAGUUUACCGCACCGGUGGCCUGGGCCGCCAUCUACGCGCAUCCGAUCGAGCACAUCUUCAGCAAUCUGCUGCCACCGCUGAUCGGCAUUCAGCUGAUGCGCAGCCACGUGCUGACGUCGGCGCUCUGGCUAACGUUUGUCAUCCAGGACACGAUCACCGGACAUUCGGGGUACCACGUGCCGUUUCUGAGCAGCAACGAGGCGCACGACUACCACCACAUGAAAUUCAACCAAUGCUACGGUGUGUUCGGUUGGCUCGACUGGCUACACGGUUCUGAUGCUCAGUUCCGGGCAUCGCGAUACUACAAGCGGCACCAGAUGCUGCUCGGCACCAAAUCGGCCCGGGAGCUGAUUCCGGAUGACAAGAAACAGCACAAAAAGUGAAGUUUGUAGAGUAUUUUGUAUAAUAAAACGAGGUGGUUGUAUCAAAAGAUGA
Molecule: RNA transcript, 1150 nt
Organism: Anopheles gambiae (African malaria mosquito)
Lineage: Eukaryota; Metazoa; Arthropoda; Insecta; Diptera; Culicidae
Gene name: fatty acid hydroxylase domain-containing protein 2
Exons: 3
Source: RefSeq, a predicted model, not a curated record